Long non-coding RNA from Lolium perenne, 1138 nucleotides. RefSeq lists it as uncharacterized. The record is from RefSeq and is a predicted model, not a curated record. Lineage: Eukaryota; Viridiplantae; Streptophyta; Magnoliopsida; Poales; Poaceae.
UCUCUACCUCUGUGAUCUUGUUCGCCCGAAAAAAAAGAGCCACAAGUGUCGUAUUCCUGUGCCUCCGUCGCCUCCCUCACGUGGCCGCCGCGCCGCCGCGCCGCCGCUGCGUUCCGCAUGACUGCGCCGCCCGCUCGUCUCCCCCUCACGCCUCGGAGCUGUUUGGUGGCGGUGUAGCAAUACGUUAGCGGCGUCGACGUUGGAGGAGACAGGUGGGCCUGCCCGUCGAUGGCCGCAUAGGUCGACGGGCGGCAGCGUAAUGCCCAUCACGCCGGUGGGGGCUUUGCUAUUCUUCGCUUCAAGCCCUUGUCGGAGCCCUCGGCGAGGCGAGCGGCCCCAGGGAUGGUGGCGACGCAGCAGGCACAGCUGUGGCGCCGUCAUCGAGCUCGCGCAUCGGGGCACAGGGGCACAAGUACGAGACCGUCGUCGUCAGAUGGUUGCAGCGGCGGCGGCCUCCAUCGAGAAGUCAUCAUUCGUCACCCAGCCAACCUUGUCUACAUUUGAAACCAGUAUGUCUACAUUGAAAAUCAGUAUGAGUAAAAGCUACCAGAUCUGACAACACUUUGUCUACAUUUAAAACCAGUAUGUCUACAUUGAAAAUCAGUAUUUGGUUGGAUUUUUAUACUACUGGUAUUUUAUCAUUUUAAUUGAUUGUUGCUUGGAUGUAUAAAUAUGUGUUUUCACGUCACUUGAGAUCUUAUAUGCUAUCCGUAUUUGUCUUCAAUAUGUAUCCCUUGCCGCAGUGUGUCAUUGAUCAUCAAGCACUUGCCUGCCUCUGGACAAUCUCAAACAACACAGCUGGUAACGGGGACUAGACUCACGUUGUGAUCAAGGCAAACAUAAUCGGACAACUGGUGCAUCUUCUGCAAGGUGCUUAAUAAAUUGCUAUAAAGGGCAAGCCAUUAUCACUGUGUUAUUUCUUCAGAGAAAGACGAAGCAAAUUACUCCACAGGAAACCUGCACAAUGUAUUCACUGUAGUUCUCAACAGUAAGGGAUUUCCCGUGGAGACAUUCUGUAUUGCUAAAGAAAUCCGCGAACUGUUUUGUACGCUAAGUUUCAUUCUUGUUUCAGUAUUAGUAUGGAACAAUUAUGUGUUGUGAAGCAUCAGGUAAAGAAGCCACAAUCUCGUGUUGAUCA